CGAGUUAUCUGAACCUUCGGGGAACGAUAACGGCGUCGAGCGGCGGACGGGUGAGUAAUGCCUAGGAAAUUGCCCUGAUGUGGGGGAUAACCAUUGGAAACGAUGGCUAAUACCGCAUGAUGCCUUCGGGCCAAAGAGGGGGACCUUCGGGCCUCUCGCGUCAGGAUAUGCCUAGGUGGGAUUAGCUAGUUGGUGAGGUAAGGGCUCACCAAGGCGACGAUCCCUAGCUGGUCUGAGAGGAUGAUCAGCCACACUGGAACUGAGACACGGUCCAGACUCCUACGGGAGGCAGCAGUGGGGAAUAUUGCACAAUGGGCGCAAGCCUGAUGCAGCCAUGCCGCGUGUGUGAAGAAGGCCUUCGGGUUGUAAAGCACUUUCAGUCGUGAGGAAGGUAGUGUAGUUAAUAGCUGUAUUAUUUGACGUUAGCGACAGAAGAAGCACCGGCUAACUCCGUGCCAGCAGCCGCGGUAAUACGGAGGGUGCGAGCGUUAAUCGGAAUUACUGGGCGUAAAGCGCAUGCAGGUGGUUUGUUAAGUCAGAUGUGAAAGCCCGGGGCUCAACCUCGGAAUAGCAUUUGAAACUGGCAGACUAGAGUACUGUAGAGGGGGGUAGAAUUUCAGGUGUAGCGGUGAAAUGCGUAGAGAUCUG
RNAcentral lists this ribosomal RNA (648 nucleotides) under Vibrio harveyi. Its description in RNAcentral is "bacterial SSU rRNA". It matches the Rfam family "Bacterial small subunit ribosomal RNA", at positions 63 to 700 of the family's 1533-position model. Lineage: Bacteria; Pseudomonadati; Pseudomonadota; Gammaproteobacteria; Vibrionales; Vibrionaceae. The record is from RNAcentral.